RNAcentral lists this ribosomal RNA (878 nucleotides) under uncultured Chaunopycnis. RNAcentral's name for it is "eukaryotic LSU rRNA". The stretch from base 491 to 644 matches the Rfam family "5.8S ribosomal RNA". Lineage: Eukaryota; Fungi; Ascomycota; Sordariomycetes; Hypocreales; Clavicipitaceae. The record is from RNAcentral.
GCAUAGAAUCUUGAACGCACAUUGCGCCCGCCAGCAAUCUGCGGGCAUGCCUGUUCGAGCGUCAUUUCAACCCUCGAGCCCGACUCUUUUGAGACGGCUCGGCGUUGGGGGACGGCAGACUCCCCCCGGCAUCUCGCCGGGGACGCCGCCCCCGAAAUCUAGUGGCGGCCCUCCGAGGCGACCUCUGCGUAGUAACUUGUUCUCGCACCGGAAAGCUCAGAGCGGCCACGCCGUAAAACCCCAACUUUUUUCAGGCUUGGUCAUUUAGAGGAAGUAAAAGUCGUAACAAGGUCUCCGUUGGUGAACCAGCGGAGGGAUCAUUACCGAGUUAUCAACUCCCAAACCCCUGUGAACAUACCUGAACGUUGCCUCGGCGGGACCGCCCCGGCGCCCAACCCGCGGCCCGGACCCAGGCGCCCGCCGGAGGACCCAAACUCUUGCUUUAAACAGUGGCAUACUCUGUGAGUCUCACAAACAAAAAAUGAAUCAAAACUUUCAACAACGGAUCUCUUGGCUCUGGCAUCGAUGAAGAACGCAGCGAAAUGCGAUAAGUAAUGUGAAUUGCAGAAUUCAGUGAAUCAUCGAAUCUUUGAACGCACAUUGCGCCCGCCAGCAUUCUGGCGGGCAUGCCUGUCCGAGCGUCAUUUCAACCCUCAGGGCCCCCCUCCGCGGGGGUGGACCUGGUGUUGGGGGCCGGCCGCCCUGCGCGCGCCGCCCCCGAAAUGCAGUGGCGACCUCGCCGCAGCCUCCCCUGCGUAGUAGCACAACCUCGCACCGGAGCGCGGAGACGGUCACGCCGUAAAACGCCCAACUUUCAAGAGUUGACCUCGGAUCAGGUAGGAAUACCCGCUGAACUUAAGCAUAUCAAUAAGCGGAGG